AUAUCCAUCUCAAUGAACUUGCAGAUCCCUUGGGUAAUUUUCUCUGCUCGUUGUGCAUCGCAGCUCCUCCGUGCUAACGCCGACACGAUGCUAGGUUGAGACUGAGAGCAGGAUGCACCGCCACCGACAUCAACCAGGGUCGGAUGUACUUUGUUUAAAUGGUACAUCAUUUGAGUCGUGGCCGUGCUGUACUUAUACACGGCAUCACAGUGUUUGCAGUGAACUAAGUCAUUUUUUAAAUCAAAUUGGUCCCACGCCA
Sander lucioperca (pikeperch) is the source of this 259-nucleotide long non-coding RNA. RefSeq lists it as uncharacterized. NCBI's taxonomy places the organism in Eukaryota, Metazoa, Chordata, Actinopteri, Perciformes, Percidae. The record is from RefSeq and is a predicted model, not a curated record. The transcript has 2 exons.